Long non-coding RNA from Mytilus californianus (California mussel), 3620 nucleotides. RefSeq lists it as uncharacterized. NCBI's taxonomy places the organism in Eukaryota, Metazoa, Mollusca, Bivalvia, Mytilida, Mytilidae. The transcript is spliced from 2 exons. The record is from RefSeq and is a predicted model, not a curated record.
AUAAAAUGCUCUGCUGGGCGCAGCUUGAUACGACCGCAGAGGUGGUACCCUGAACAGUUGGGGCAAGUAUGGACACAACAUUCAAGCUUGAUACGACCGCAGAGGUCAAACCCUGAACAGUUGGGGCAAGUAUGGACACAACAUUCAAGCUUGAUACAGCUCUGAAUUUGGAUUGUGAUUAAAUAUUUGACACAGCAUAGGUUUCUGACACAGAAAGAAUGUGGUCUAAGAACUUCAAUUUUUUUAAUUUACCUAUUAUGGUCCAAUGUCCAAAAUCAAAAUACAUGGUUAGAUUCAGCAUAUCAAAGAACCCCAUAUAUUCAAUUUUUGUUGAAAUCAAACAAAGUUUAAUUUUGGACCCCAACUUGGACAAACUUGAAAACUGGUCCCAUAAUCAAAAAUCUAAACACAUGUUUAGAUUCAGCAUAUCAAAGUACCCCAAGAAUUCAAUUUUUGUUAAAAUCAAACUAAGUUUAAUUUUGGACCCUUUGGACCUUAAUGUAGACCAAUUUAAAAAACGGGACCCAAAAUUAAAAAUCUAAAAACACGUUUAGAUUUGGCAUAUCAAAGAACCCCAAUAAUUCAUUUUUUGAUGAAAUCAAACAAAGUUUAAUUUUGGACCCUUUUGACCACAAUAUGAACCAAUUUGAUAGCGGGCCUACAAAAUAAAAAAUCUAAACACAUGGUAAGAUUCAGCAUAUCAAAGAACCCCAUAUAUUCAAUUUUUGUUGAAAUCAAACAAAGUUUAAUUUUGGACCCCAAUUUGGACCAAUUUGAAAACUGGGCCAAAAAUCAAAAAUCUAAAUACAUGUUUAGAUUCAGCAUAUCAAAGAACCCCAAUAAUUAAAUUUUUGAUGAAAUCAAACAAAGUUCAAUUUUGGACCCCAACUUGGACCAACUUGAAAACUGGUCCCAUAAUCAAAAAUCUAAACACAUGUUUAGAUUCAGCAUAUCAAAGAACCCCAAAAAUUCAAUUUUUGUUAAAAUCAAACUAAGUUUAAUUUUGGACCCUUUGGACCUUAAUGUAGACCAAUUUAAAAAACGGGACCCAAAAUUAAAAAUCUAAAUACACGGUUAGAUUUGGCAUAUCAAAGAACCCCAAUAAUUAAAUUUUUGAUGAAAUCAAACAAAGUUCAAUUUUGGACCCUUUUGACCUCAAUAUGAACCAAUUUGAUAGCGGGCCCACAAAUAAAAAAUCUAAAUACAUGGUAAGAUUCAGCAUAUCAAAGAACCCCAUAUAUUCAAUUUUUGUUAAAAUCAAACAAAGUUUAAUUUUGGACCCCAAUUUGGACCUUAAUGUAGACCAAUUUAAAAAACGGGACCCAAAAUUAAAAAUCUAAAUAUACGGUUAGAUUUGGCAUAUCAAAGAACCCCAAUAAUUAAAUUUUUGAUGAAAUCAAACAAAGUUCAAUUUUGGACCCUUUUGACCUCAAUAUGAACCAAUUUGAUAGCGGGCCCACAAAUAAAAAAUCUAAAUACAUGGUAAGAUUCAGCAUAUCAAAGAACCCCAUAUAUUCAAUUUUUGUUGAAAUCAAACAAAGUUUAAUUUUGGACCCCAAUUUGGACCAACUUGAAAACUGGGCCAAAAAUCUAAAAUCUAAAUACAUGUUUAGAUUCAGCAUAUCAAAGAACCCCAUAUAUUCAAUUUUUGUUGAAAUCAAACAAAGUUUAAUUUUGGACCCCAACUUGGACCAACUUGAAAACUGGGCCCAUAAUCAAAAUUCUAAACACAUGUUUAGAUUCAGCAUAUCAAAGAACCCCAAGAAUUCAAUUUUUGUUAAAAUCAAACUAAGUUUAAUUUUGGACCCUUUGGACCUUAAUGUAGACCAAUUUAAAAACGGGACCCAAAAUUAAAAAUCUAAAUACACGGUUAGAUUUGGCAUAUCAAAGAACCCCAAUAAUUCAAUUUUUGAUGAAAUCAAACAAAGUUUAAUUUUGGACCCUUUUGACCUCAAUAUGAACCAAUUUGAUAGCGGGUCCACAAAUAAAAAAUCUAAAUACAUGGUUAGAUUCAGCAUAUCAAAGAACCCCAAGAAUUCAAUUUUUGAUGAAAUCAAACAAAGUUUAAUUUUGGACCCUUUUGACCUCAAUGUGGACAAAGUUGAUAACGGGGCCCAAAAAUCAAAAAUCUAAAUACAUGGUUAGAUUCAACAUAUCAAAGAACCCCAUAUAUUCAAUUUUUGUUGAAAUCAAACAAAGUUUAAUUUUGGACCCCGAUUUGGACCAACUUGAAAACUGGGCCCAUAAUCAAGAAUCUAAAUACACGGUUAGAUUCGGCAUAUCAAAGAACCCCAAUAAUUCAAUUUUUGUUAAAAUCAAACUAAGUUUAAUUUUGGACCCUUUUGACAUUAAUGUAGACCAAUUUAAAAACGGGGCCCAAAAUCCAAAAACUUAAUACACGGUUAGAUUCAGCAUAUUAAAGAACCCCAAGAAUUCAAGAAUAAAACCCCAUUGAAAUUGAUCAAGAAAUAAGCAAUUUAUAUGAAGUAUCUUCUUUUGCACAAUACUGUGCAAUUGAAUAUUUCUUGCUAUUGUGCAAUACUGUACAAUUGACAAUUUCUUGCUAUUGCGCAAUAUUGUGCUAUUGGAUAUUUCUUGCUAUUGCGCAAUACUGUGCAAUUGAAGAUUUCUUGCUAUUGCGCAAUACUGUGCAAUUGAAGAUUUCUUGCAAUUGUGCAAUACUGUGCAAUUGAAAAUUUCUUGCUAUUGCACAAUACUUAUUAUAUAAUAAUUUACACAUCCUGUUUGGUGUGUAACUCCUACCAUAUCAUCAUUAUUUGCUUUUAAAUAUUAAUCAGAAAUAACCAACUUAAAAUGGAAAAUUUUAAAAGAAAAAAAAAAGGAAAAAAAGAAAAAAAAAGAAAAAAAAAAAUCCCCCCCCCAAAUUUUUUGAACCCCCUUAUGAUUCAUCACCCCCAAACUCAAUCCCAGCCUUCCCUUUGUGGUAUGGUACCUUGCAGUACAAUUUCAGAGAGAUCCAUACACUUGAACACAAGUUAUUGUCUGGAAACUAGAAAAAUGCUUAUUUUUGGCCCCUUUUUGGCCCCCAAUUCCUAAACGUUUCAGGCAAUUACCCCCAAACUCAAUUCCAGCUUUCCCUUUGUGAUAUGAAACCUUGUAGUACAAUUUCAGAAAUAUCCAAACACUUACUCACAAGUUAUUGUCAUGAAACUAGAAAAAUGCUUGUUUUUUGCCCCUUUUUUGGCCCCUAAUUCCUAAAAUUUUGAGGCAAUUACCCCCAAAAUCAAUUACAGCCUUCCCUUUGUGAUAUGGAACCUUGUGGUACAAUGUCAGAGAGAUCCAUACACUUACACACAAGUUAUUGUCUGGAAUUACAAAAAUGCUUAUUUUUGGCCCCUUUUUGGCCCCUAAUUCCUUAACUGUUGGUACCAUAACCCCCAAAAUCAAUCCCAACCUUCCUUUCGUGGUAUUGAACCUUAUGGUAAAAUUUCAUGGAGAUCCAUUCACUUAAACUAAAGUUAGAGUGCGAAAACCAAUGUGUCUUCGGACGACGCCGGACGACGCCAGACGACGACGACGACGACGACGACGACGACGCCAACGUCAUACCAAUAUACGACCAAAAAAUUUUCAAUUUUUGCGGUCGUAUAAAAAUUAGG